GACAGAGGGUGCAAACGUUGUUCGGAAUUACUGGGCGUAAAGCGCGUGUAGGCGGCUUGGCAAGUCGGGUGUGAAAGCCCCGGGCUCAACCUGGGAAGUACACUCGAAACUGCUUGGCUUGAGUACUGGAGAGGGAAGCGGAAUUCUCGGUGUAGAGGUGAAAUUCGUAGAUAUCGAGAGGAACACCGGUGGCGAAGGCGGCUUCCUGGACAGUUACUGACGCUGAGACGCGAAAGCGUGGGGAGCAAACAGG
This 253-nucleotide ribosomal RNA is filed under the name uncultured bacterium. RNAcentral describes it as "partial 16S ribosomal RNA". It matches the Rfam family "Bacterial small subunit ribosomal RNA", at positions 524 to 776 of the family's 1533-position model. The record is from RNAcentral.